This 468-nucleotide ribosomal RNA is filed under the name uncultured bacterium. RNAcentral describes it as "partial 16S ribosomal RNA". It matches the Rfam family "Bacterial small subunit ribosomal RNA", at positions 28 to 507 of the family's 1533-position model. The record is from RNAcentral.
GACGAACGCUGGCGGCGUGCUUAACACAUGCAAGUCGAACGGAAAGGCCCUGCUUUUUUGCGGUGCUCGAGUGGCGAACGGGUACGUAACACGUGAGUAACCUGCCCUUGACUUUGGGAUAACUUCAGGAAACUGGGGCUAAUACCGGAUCGGAUCUCCUGCUGCAUGGUGGGGGUUGGAAAGUUUCGGCGGUUGGGGAUGGACUGGCGGCUUAUCAGCUUGCUGGUGGGGUAGUGGCUUACCAAGGCUUUGACGGGUAGCCGGCCUGAGAGGGUGACCGGCCACAUGGGGACUGAGAUACGGACCAGACUCCUACGGGAGGCAGCAGUGGGGAGUAUUGCACAAUGGGCGGAAGCCUGAUGCAGCGACGCCGCGUGCGGGAUGACGGCCUUCGGGUUGUAAACCGCUUUAGCUUGUGACGAAGCGGUAGUGACGGUAAUGGGUAAAGAAGCACCGGCUAACUACGUG